CGACCUGCUGGUCCAGCGGGCGUCGAUGCUGGAGCUGCUCGCGGUGGUGCUGCGCCGGUUCGGAUCCGGCGGGUCGC
This 77-nucleotide transfer RNA is filed under the name Planctomycetota bacterium. RNAcentral's name for it is "tRNA-Ala". Lineage: Bacteria; Pseudomonadati; Planctomycetota. The record is from RNAcentral.